RNAcentral lists this ribosomal RNA (253 nucleotides) under uncultured bacterium. Its description in RNAcentral is "partial 16S ribosomal RNA". It matches the Rfam family "Bacterial small subunit ribosomal RNA", at positions 524 to 776 of the family's 1533-position model. The record is from RNAcentral.
UACGUAGGGCGCGAGCGUUGUCCGGAUUUAUUGGGCGUAAAGAGCUCGUAGGCGGCUUGUCGCGUCGACUGUGAAAACCCGCGGCUCAACUGCGGGCCUGCAGCCGAUACGGGCAGGCUAGAGUUCGGUAGGGGAGACUGGAAUUCCUGGUGUAGCGGUGAAAUGCGCAGAUAUCAGGAGGAACACCAAUGGCGAAGGCAGCUCGCUGGAACGGUACUGACGCUGAGGCGCGAAAGCGUGGGGAGCGAACAGG